Molecule: transfer RNA, 74 nt
Filed under: Candidatus Woesebacteria bacterium
Lineage: Bacteria; Candidatus Woeseibacteriota
Description: tRNA-Ile
Rfam family: tRNA
About the family: Transfer RNA (tRNA) molecules are approximately 80 nucleotides in length. Their secondary structure includes four short double-helical elements and three loops (D, anti-codon, and T loops).
Source: RNAcentral
GGACCCGUCAUUUAACGGCAGGAUAUUUCUCUUAUAAAGAAAAUGCGAUGGUUCGACUCCAUCCGGGUCCACCC